CAUGUCACAUGUGCUUACAAGAUCUCGGGAGACUGCGUCUUAGCUCAGCCAGCGCAGUUCAGCGCAGUUCGUUUUUAAGCAACUGCGCUGGCCAAAACCCUCCCCAAUGACGUCAGUUCAAAGUUGUGAUAGGGCCGUUUGGAAGAAUCUCCCCAUGACGAGUAUGACAGGUGUCUCGUUCUGCCUCCUUACCCAAGACACUAGAGCGGACCAAGACGGAUCAGUUCAACUGCACUAAAACCAACGUCUGGGAUGACGCUGGAGCUUAUCCCUGUGAUCCAUCUUGCUCUGUUCUAGAAUCUUUGCUCCUUACGUUAGAAUCUGCUAAAAUGAACAGAAAUCGAACGGAUACCUUCUUAUUUGUGAUUUUUGGAACAGCGGUAGGCUAGCCUACUGAAAACGUGAGGAUACUCUGCUAUUUUAUGCUGUUGGUUAAAUAUAUACACACGGAAAACACUUGAUAUUUAAUUAAUGUGCUGCAAUGCAGGCCUGUUUAACUGUAUGACAACAGUGGUUUAUUUAAACACAUCAUAUCAAUUUAUUUCGUCAGUCACCAUGCUCAUUUUAAUGAGUAAGAAUAAAAGUUUUACUGUAUUUAAUACAAAAUCCCGCGAUAUCUACCGCGAUAUCUACCGCGAAGUCUCCAGCGAGGUCUCUCGCGAGUAACUUCAGGUACGUAAGCUCAGUCAGACUGUCCGGGAUGAGCUGCGUGUGCUAGUCGCCCCUCCUGCUAAGACUCUGCAGCUCUCGUUGACGUAUGAAGCCAGCCUAAGUCAGCCUAAGUCAGCCGCAGCUCAUCGCAAACGCACCUACUGUUGGCAUGCUGAGGGAGAUUUCUGGAUAUGGCAGCAUCAACCCCACGCCAUAUUCGAGAGCACGCCCGGCCCGAGGCUGUACAUGUGCAUCGGAGUGGGCCUGCAACACAGACGACGGCGUAGAGGGGAAACAAUCGAAAUUGAAGUCUAGAUUGGGCUUCAAGGGUUCAGAUGUAGGCCUAUCUACCUGCAGCUCUAGUUCUUGUAAAAUUUCAUACGAAGAUCCAGUGGUCCAUGAUAUGUUGUUUCAAAGCAAACUAAACUGUUUCAGAUUGAGGCGAAGACACAUACCAUUUUCAUCAUGAACUAAGUUAGCGGUGGUAUCUCAACUCAGUGGAACAGUUUGGAGGACUAGGACUUCGAUGACGCGUGUUUUAUUCUAGGCUACCUGCCUACAGUGUGCUGUAGAUCCUAACUGUCGCCACACCUCAUUGAUGACAUCAGCCCCAGGCCUAGUAUUCAAUCAUGCGUCGAUGAAGA
Molecule: long non-coding RNA, 1295 nt
Organism: Sardina pilchardus (European sardine)
Lineage: Eukaryota; Metazoa; Chordata; Actinopteri; Clupeiformes; Clupeidae
Exons: 3
Source: RefSeq, a predicted model, not a curated record